UACGUAGGGGGCGAGCGUUGUCCGGAUUUAUUGGGCGUAAAGAGCGUGUAGGCGGCCUGACAGGUCUGCUGUGAAAACUCGAGGCUCAACCUCGAGAUGUCGGCGGAAACCGUCUGGCUAGAGUCCGGAAGAGGAGAGUGGAAUUCCUGGUGUAGCGGUGAAAUGCGCAGAUAUCAGGAAGAACACCCGUGGCGAAAGCGGCUCUCUGGAACGGUACUGACGCUGAGACGCGAAAGCGUGGGGAGCGAACAGG
This 253-nucleotide ribosomal RNA is filed under the name uncultured bacterium. RNAcentral's name for it is "partial 16S ribosomal RNA". It matches the Rfam family "Bacterial small subunit ribosomal RNA", at positions 524 to 776 of the family's 1533-position model. The record is from RNAcentral.